RNAcentral lists this non-coding RNA (28 nucleotides) under Homo sapiens (human). Lineage: Eukaryota; Metazoa; Chordata; Mammalia; Primates; Hominidae. The record is from RNAcentral.
UUACUGAGUCCACAUCUGUCUUCAGACG